GCGCCCCCGCCGCUCCAGCGCACGUCAGACUCAGCGCCCUUCCUCGAGGGGCGCCGCCCUCUGACCCCACCCGGAGAGCGCCCGCUUCUCAGGACCCGCGUGGACACGCAGGACCUCCUCCCGACCUCAAGGCCCCUAACCGCACCCCGUCCUCCAAAGACAAGCACAAGAAAAGCCAGACUGGAAGUCAUCACGGGAGGGAAGAGAGUUUUGAGCUGAAGAAAACACUCUGACUUGAAUUCUCUUCUUUGUGGAGAACUGACAGCAGCCUCUGUGUGGAUCGGACCCAGAAAGCUGCCACGUGCCGGCGGGUGGAACAGCCACGCCCGUGCCCGCAGAGAAGGGGGCGCAGGCUGACUGCGUCGGGCUCUUACAGGCGCUGGAGCCAAAUUAGGACUUAUCAGCACGUUCAUUAUCUAAAAAUAAACCAGCUUUUCUUUGCUUCAUCAAAAGAUCAGAUUAUAGAGUACGCCGCCUUACUUGCAGAAUAAAGUGUUUUUAUUCUUAGACA
This is a long non-coding RNA of Capra hircus (goat), 511 nucleotides long. RefSeq lists it as uncharacterized. The record is from RefSeq and is a predicted model, not a curated record. The transcript has 2 exons. Lineage: Eukaryota; Metazoa; Chordata; Mammalia; Artiodactyla; Bovidae.